GAAGUCCUUGCCUGUCAAUCAUGCCCCCAUGGAGGAUCCUGGCUAUAACGAGGUCGUCUUUCUCGACGCGAAAGGUGACGCCCUGCGAGGGAAAACGAAGAGCUCGGAGCAUCUGUCACUCCCGCUUCCUCGCAAUGACGUGACAAUCACAAAGAAGGUCACGGGAGCUCGAUGCAGCACCGGGAGUCCAGAUGUCGCUCUAGGGGCCUUGGUCCAGGACGAGCGAUUUACAACAUGAGGUCUACCUUGUACUCGGUCGGGCCUAAGUACGAUCGUCAUAUGGCAGAUAAUGUUUCCAUCUUGUCCAGAAUCUCAUCGGAUGAUCCAGGUGCACCUCCACUGUCGAAUAUGCGACUUUGGACAGGAAUUGACUCCUCCCACCCGACCGCCCUUCCCCGCCUCUCGCCCGCCUGCCUCUGCCUCCGCACCAACCCCAAUAGUCCCUUUAAGACCACGGCGGCCUCGGAAAACUGCAGUUUCACAACCUCCGUUAAUGACCACGAUUGGGAGACGGUGGUGAAUGAACAGGAUAGGGAGGAGCACCGAUGAUCCAUGUUCCAUUGUCGGAUGCCAAAUGAACGUCAAAACGAAUGCGUCUUUUUGUGAGUAUUGCGUGCAUGUUGCCACACGUGCGGCCAUUUUUUUAGUCAUCCUUUGUGGUGUGUACGCUUGCUACUCCGACACAGUCACCGCGUUCUAGCCCAGGGAGCAAAGAAAAAGAGACACAUCCAUCCGUGUCCCACAAUUGGUGCCCGCGUGCCGCAUAAUGACAGCUGCUCACGCGACCUACCAACGCGCCCCUCCAACUCUUCACACGCGACAAACUGUCAAUCUGAUUCCCAUUCAAAUGGAAGAAUAAACCAAAAAGAAGGCGGUAGGAAGCGGUUUCUUACCUUUAA
This is a long non-coding RNA of Hippocampus zosterae (dwarf seahorse), 899 nucleotides long. RefSeq lists it as uncharacterized. The transcript is spliced from 5 exons. The record is from RefSeq and is a predicted model, not a curated record. Lineage: Eukaryota; Metazoa; Chordata; Actinopteri; Syngnathiformes; Syngnathidae.